UGGUUUGUGAAGUCUUAGCCUCAUCAGUCCCUCUCUGCAGUAAAGUCGAGACUUGCUGCAGAGAAUCUCAGAAAAACAUUCAUGUCAUCAAAUUCACGGGGGCUCAGAGGGGAUCCACUCUUUCACACAACAGUCCAAGCUUACUGUUUAGCCCACGUAAAGUCUGAGUGACUGCGCAAGUGCUGAAGAGGUACUGGGGCAGCUAAGACUUCACUAACCACGACUGAGGCAUGUUACUCAUUCAUACACUUCUAUAGCCGACUGACACCUUAACCAACUCAGCUGCUGCACGAUCAGCCUCUCCACGGUUAAAACCAGUUAAGAGCAAAGCAGCUGUCCCUUCAAGAAUCCUUUCAUGUCAAGAACUAAAUGAGGGGCAUGACAUUAUUCACUAAAACACAUACUAGAUGAUGCUACCAACCUUAAAAAGCAGCACAAUAGCCAUCUAGAACGUACUAGUUAAAGGGAUAGUCCACCCUAAAUAUUCAAUUCAUGCACUUCCAAACCUCUGUGACUCACUCUGAAGAAUAUUGGGAAACACUGGAAGCCAGUUAAAUUUCAAUGCAAUGACAAAAAAAAUGAGUGUGUAUAUAUUUUUUUAAAUAUACGUAAAAAGUGCUGGGUAGAUAGAUAUUUUGAGAAAUAUAUCAGUGUUCCACAGAAGAAAGUCACACAGGUAAGUAAAUGACCAUUUGAAUUUUAGGGUGGACUAUCCCUUUAAAACUGACUGAGACAAAUGAGACCGGUACAGAUUCGAUUUGGAAAUGUAAUUGCUAACCUCACAAGGAGCUUCAAGUCAUGUACAAUCACAAUCCUGAACAUUAAAAAAAAACCCUGACAGACCUGUGACAUAUUUUGAAAUGUUUUCAGUGCAGCACUCUCAACUGUGGUCUGCUUCCAAAAAUCAAUGUGCUUUUGCCUCAGGCAAACGGAGCACAAAAUCAAACAGGAUAAUAUGGACAAGGGAAUAAAAUCUAAAGAGUUGUUUUAAGACUGCAGUUUCAACAUUACUCUUUUGACAAAUUUAUAAAUUGACCAUACCUGGAAAACAUAAUAUUUACUUGUUUCCUCAUAAAAAUCCUAUUCAGGCUUUUAGAAGCUACAGAAAGAUGACAAAGUAUUUUUGCCAAGUUGUCGCCCAUUCAUGUCACUGCUUGUGUCAUUUAGAAGUAAUCCACAAUGGACAGAUGAUUCAAACCAGUUACCAAGUAACCUGAUUGUUAGGUUCAAGCUGCUACUACUUGCAGAGUAGUUACAUUUAGCUACGGCAGCCUUGACAUUUCUAUAGACACUAAUGGAAAAGACGAGGGGAAAAGAAGAAAAUAAAAUGCUUGACAAGCCUCCAUUCAUUGAGCGUGAGGAAGUAUGCUGACGCAGCACUCUCAGGACAAAUCUCACAAUAAUACAGCAGCACAAGCUCCAGGCCUCUGUUGUUGCAGAACUAACAAAGUUGCACCGGUAACCAAGAAACCAACAAUCCCCUGCAAACAAAGUUCGUUCAAGCUCAAACACUCUUGAGCGUCACCACUUAAAUUCUUGGCUGCAGCUAUUCAGCCAAAGGGAUCUUAAAGGGACAGUACUCUAUUUCUCGAGCCUGUAAGAAGCAUAAAUCUUUGAAUGGAUGGAAUUAUCGCAAUCCAAGUGUUACAAUCAUAUUUCUAAGCAAGGUACAUGGUGCAUCCUGGCUUUUGAAGGGGGAUGGGGUGCAAUCAAACUAAAACGGCGUGCACAAAGGAUUAGGCCAAUACCACCUCAUCAGCAAAUGCUAUUCUUAGUCCAGCCACUUUUAACAGCAGUUGCUCUCUGCCUUAAUUCAGGAUGAACCUUCAGUGUAAAACGGUCUUCCUGAUUUUUACCAAGCAUUUAUCAACAAAGAACAUAACUUGAACCUUGGGAUUGAAAAUAAGAAAAAGAAAAAAAAAAGACUCUAAAAGCCAUGUAUAACGUCACAGAGGAAAUAGAUCACAAAGCUCAGCUGGGAAAAAAAGCUGUCUGCGUGGGUUGAUGGCACACCGUCACUAUAUUAAAACCCCCGGUCCUGUGGCCAAUUAGACAUCCCAUUUACUUUAUUAUACAGAUGAUACGAUAUAUAGCACGAUACAACUUUAAAUAUCAAACUGCCAGAAAAUUCUAAUCUACUCUGAAACAUUCCCACAACCUACAAACAAGGCUACUUGAUAAAUCCUGUAGACAUCACAAAGUAGUUUAAUCAGACUGCAGAUGUUAAAUUUAGGACAAAUUUAGGCCUAUUAAGCACCAAAGGUAACUCUGAUAGAACUGAGAUGUAUACCAUUGAUAGUGAUAAACACCCAAACCGAAUACUGCGGUAGUCCAGGGCACUAAAGGACAGAGCAGUGGAAGAGGAGUGACAGCAGCUUUUCCACUUAACUGUGCCCUUCCAAGUGUCAAGCCUACUCUGCAUUAGAUGCACAACAGAUUUAGACUACAUUAAAGCCUACACCAUCUGAACAGGACUACUUAUCGCUAAUGUAGUGCGAAACAGACUCUAUAUGCUCAUUAACAUCCAUUUUAAUCGUCAACAGGAAACAUAAUAUGAUGGACGAAAAAUAAAAGCGCUCCAAGUCCAAGUCCAUAUACCUAGAAUGGGCUACGCCUUCUGCUGGAAAGAAGAUCCACAACUAGAAUCACAAAAAAAAUAUCACUGUUGAGUCAUCACAUGAACAUAGAACAACAUUACAGUUCCCUCAACACCAAACAUAUAGAAAAGUACAGUAAGAGUCAAUGAAGAGAUGUGUAAAUGACAUGAUCUUGGUUAGACUGUGGUUAGAAAUCACUCCCACGUAUCCAUGUUUGUACUGAAGAGACCAAUAUAAUCAAGACUAACAAGUGUUAGAUCCAGGAACAAUGAUUGGGAGAAAUCUGUCAAAUAGAGCAUCCCAUUUAGAAAGGGGUUAAUUUGAGGGAUGGUUAUCUGACAUUCACAGAAAAGAUUAUGAAGCCAACCCUUCGUCCCAGAGAAGAAUAUACAUUUUUUGGUACAAAGUUAGUAGUCAAAUUUCCCAAGGACGUCUUUGCUUUUGAAAGACAUACCAAUUGAAAAUUGUUUUUUUUUUUUGUUUUUUUGGAGUGGGGUGCAUCCUUGAACUAACACCGUUUCUUUGCAUUUCAUGAAUCUUUUGGGGAGCAAAUGUUGCAAAUCCACUUUUGUUUUUACAAAUGUGAGCAAUUGGUGUCUUUGUUUUGUGCUGAAAACGUCGCUUGGCUUUU
Molecule: long non-coding RNA, 3228 nt
Organism: Sinocyclocheilus anshuiensis
Lineage: Eukaryota; Metazoa; Chordata; Actinopteri; Cypriniformes; Cyprinidae
Exons: 3
Source: RefSeq, a predicted model, not a curated record